RNAcentral lists this ribosomal RNA (200 nucleotides) under uncultured bacterium. RNAcentral describes it as "partial 16S ribosomal RNA". It matches the Rfam family "Bacterial small subunit ribosomal RNA", at positions 30 to 230 of the family's 1533-position model. The record is from RNAcentral.
AUUGAACGCUGGCGGCAGGCCUAACACAUGCAAGUCGAGCGGUAGGGAGAAGCUUGCUUCUCUUGAGAGCGGCGGACGGGUGAGUAAUGCCUAGGAAUCUGCCUAGUGGUGGGGGAUAACGUUCGGAAACGGACGCUAAUACCGCAUACGUCCUACGGGAGAAAGCGGGGGACCUUCGGGCCUCGCGCCAUUAGAUGAGC